Molecule: small RNA, 29 nt
Filed under: Bombyx mori (domestic silkworm)
Lineage: Eukaryota; Metazoa; Arthropoda; Insecta; Lepidoptera; Bombycidae
Description: ovarian small RNA-15890
Source: RNAcentral
GAGGAGGACCUACUCGCUAUUAAGCACCA